CGCAUCUGUGCAUGCAGCAUAUCAAUAAGCGGAGGAAAAGAAACUAACAAGGAUUCCCUCAGUAACGGCGAGUGAAGCGGGAAGAGCUCAAAUUUGAAAUCUUGAAAGGUCACCUUUCACGAAUUGUAGUUUAAAGAAGUGUUUUCUGUUACGAUCGUAAUAUAAGUUCUUUGGAAUAGGACAUCACAGAGGGUGAGAAUCCCGUCUAUGAUUGCGAUUUGUAGCUUUGUGAUACACUUUCAAAGAGUCGGGUUGUUUGGGAAUGCAGCCCAAAACGGGAGGUAAAUUUCUUCUAAGGCUAAAUAUUGGCGAGAGACCGAUAGCGAACAAGUACCGUGAGGGAAAGAUGAAAAGAACUUUGAAAAGAGAGUUAAAUAGUACGUGAAAUUGUCAAAAGGGAAGCGUUUAACACCAGUGUUGUUUUCUGAAAAUCAACCUCUGUUAGCUUUAUGCAUGUUUGUUUAGACCUAAUCAGCUAUCUUGCAUGUUCUAUUGUUUGCAGUGGUGCACUUUUCAGUUUACAGGGUCAACACUCAGUUUUUUUUACCGUAAAAAAGUUAAAGAAAGGUAGCUCAUGGCUCCGGUCGUGAGUGUUAUAGUCUUUUUCCUAUGCGGUAGGAGAGACUGAGGUCUGCAGUGUAGGCUAUUUGGCUAGAUACUCAGGUGCUAUGUGAUACCAUUUCAUAAACAACUUGUUGAUUAUGUUUUGUCUAUUGCAUACUCGCUUGUACUAUCAUACCUACGCUUAGGAUGUUGACGAUCAGCUGAGCGCG
Molecule: ribosomal RNA, 773 nt
Filed under: uncultured Neocallimastigales
Lineage: Eukaryota; Fungi; Neocallimastigomycota; Neocallimastigomycetes; Neocallimastigales
Description: partial large subunit ribosomal RNA
Rfam family: Eukaryotic large subunit ribosomal RNA
Source: RNAcentral